This 253-nucleotide ribosomal RNA is filed under the name uncultured bacterium. Its description in RNAcentral is "partial 16S ribosomal RNA". It matches the Rfam family "Bacterial small subunit ribosomal RNA", at positions 524 to 776 of the family's 1533-position model. The record is from RNAcentral.
UACAGAGGGUGCAAGCGUUGUUCGGAAUUACUGGGCGUAAAGCGCGUGUAGGUGGCGAUGUAAGUCGGGUGUGAAAUCCCUCAGCUUAACUGAGGAAGUGCACUCGAUACUGUGUCGCUUGAGUGUUGGAGGGGAUGGCGGAAUUCCCGGUGUAGAGGUGAAAUUCGUAGAUAUCGGGAGGAACACUUGUGGCGAAGGCGGCCAUCUGGACAACUACUGACACUGAGGCGCGAAAGCGUGGGUAGCAAACAGG